GUGGUCAGGGCAGUUCUUGCUGAGCCUCAGGUGUACAUGAAUACACACCCUCCCUCAGAAGUAUCUUCUAUGCCUGAGCUUCCCACUGUGGAAUGCAGAUAAGUCAGAGCUGGUUGGAAGCAGGGACAGUGAGUCAAAGUCAGGCGCUGUAUUCCUCAUCCUGUUGUUUCAUCUCUAGGCAAGGUCCAUGCCUGCAUUUCAGAUGCGCACCGUGAACUGUGUGGAAGUCGUCUGACCCAAGACAGUCGUGCCAACAGGCCCCGCCUCCCUCUUCUUGUUACCUUUUUCACAACUUCUCAACUUCCCCCAAGACUUGGGUCAUUUCUGCUUCCUCCUAGCAUUUCCAUCCAUUCUCUUCUGGAGUGCAUUCUGUGGAGAGUCCCGUGUGUGUUUAUAUGGGGCUGGUCUGCAAUUCUUUCUUCUCUUUGUUCAUUCUCUGACCGAACCAAAUCACUGAGGCAGCAACAGCCUGGCAUCUCAUUCUGAUGUCCCAUCUGAUAUCUCCAAUGGCGCCAUGGGCCUGGCUAAGCCUGCAUGUUGACCUGAGUGGCAAAAGGAGCCAUGUGGAUUCUGGCCUUCCUCUGGAAACACUUCACAGUUCAUGGGAAUAUUCCAUCCCGAGACGGAGAUGCUGAUGGUGGAGUCAGAGCCUAAGCGGGAAUGUUGCACCUUCCCUGGACCUCUGUUUCUUCUGCAUAGGAAGGAUCUUGGGUUAGAGGAUGAUGAACAGAUCAAGUUAAAACCCUAGUUGUAUGGCCCAGUGAGCCCUCUGACUUUCUGUCCCUGACGAGGCUGAUACCAUCUCAGAGGCUCCCCUGGGCAUCUGCUCAAUGACUGGCAGAAAGAGGCACCUACCUUCCUCAAGCCGAAGCAGAAGCAGCUUCACCCCCAACACAGGCCAGGAAAAGAAGAGAUGUCAUCCCCUGCUGCCUACAGAGACCAAAACCUGGUCUCAGAGGGGGUUCUGAGAGUGACAUUAGCCUCCAGCUGCACUGUGACCAGCACAGAGGCAGGGAGAGGGCUCAGACACUUUGUCACCCCAGUACCUCUUCCCCCUCCCCCUUCUGUCCCAUCCUCUUUGAAGAUCCAGUGAAGAGAAGAGGCUUAGGGUCUUAUCCUAGGAACCACAGGAAAGGACAGUUUUAAUUCACUCAUCGUUAAAAACUCACACUUUGAGUGUUCUGUCUAUUUCCAGAGCUGUUCAUCAGAAAGGAAAACCCAGUCAAUGAAUGUGGGCAUUGUAUUGUGCCAGUUAAGGCAAGAGUCCUCAGCAUUAGCAACUGCAAAACGUAGAAUUCUCGACCCAUCUCAAGGCCAGCUUGAGCUGUGUUUAAGGAUGUGGGGAGAAUAAAAGGCUUGUGAGAAGAAGCCUGUCUGUCACCUCCUGGAUUGCUCUUGGGCACAGGACCCUCGGCAGUUUAUUCAUCUGUGUGCCAAGCAUGUAUGAAACAGUUUCUAUGGACCAGGCACUGUGCUACAAUCCAUGUCUCAGAUACAUUUGCACAUUAAGGCUCAUUACAGUACCAGUCACAAUAGCUAAGUUAUGGAACCAACCUAGGUGUCCAACAGCUGAGGAAAGGGUAAAGAAAAUUGGGUAGGGACUGGACAGAUGGUCCGGCGGUUAAGAUCACUGACUGUUCUUCCAGGGGGCCCGUGUUUGAUACCCAGCACCGACAUGGCAAGUCACAAACAUCCAUAACUCCAGUUCCAGAAGAUCCAAUGCUUUUUCUGACCUCCAGUGGCUCUGGGCACACAUGUGAUGCCCAUAUACACAUAUGGGCAAGACACUCAUACACAUAAAACAAAAAUAAACAAAUCUGUAAAAAGAAAGAAAAUGGAUCAUAUAUACACAACGGAAUUUUUGCAGCCACAAGGAAAAAUAAAGCUACAUCAUUUGAAGAAAAAUGGAUACACAUAAAAGCAACCAUAUGAAGCAAAUUAAGCCAGUCCCAGAAGAUCAAUAUAUGUUUUUUCAUUCGUGAUCCCUAGAUCUUAUAUUGAUACACCGUUGUGUAUGUAUACAUGACAUGGAGUAAAAGUGAGACACAUAUGGACAAAUGGUGGCAUCUUAGUCAGAGUUUCUAUUGCCGUGAAGUACGCCAUGACUGUGGCAACUCAUAUAAAGGAAAACAUUUCAUGGAGUGGCUUACAGUCUCAGAAGUUGGUUCAUUAUCAUCAUGGUGGGACAUGGCAGCAUGCAGGCAGACAUGGUGUGGGAAAAGGAACUGAAUGUUCUACAUCUUGAUCUACAGGAAGCAGAAGGAGACUGUGUGCCAUACUGGGCAUAGCUUAAGCAUAUCAGACCUCAGAGUCCGCCCCUACAGUGAUGCACUUCCUCCAACAAAGCCACGCCUACUUCAACAAGGCCACAACUCAUAAUAAUGCUACUCCCUGUGGGCCGAGCAUUCAAACACAUGAAUCUAUGGGGGCCAUUCCUAUUCAAACCACCACAGGUGGUAGGGAAAGGGAAGAUACGGGAAACAAGAUAGUAUACUCAAAAUAUAACACAUACUUGUAGUGAAAUUUUAAAAAGAAAUUGAUUAAAAUAAAAAUGUUUAAUGGAGAACAAGA
Molecule: long non-coding RNA, 2571 nt
Organism: Mesocricetus auratus (golden hamster)
Lineage: Eukaryota; Metazoa; Chordata; Mammalia; Rodentia; Cricetidae
Exons: 3
Source: RefSeq, a predicted model, not a curated record